AUUCAUCGAGUGACCUCACCGUUGGUCUUGAGAGGCAGCUGGAGCGUUUUGAGCAGCAAGUAAAGAUUUUAAAGGAAGUGCUCUCAGCCAAUGGGAGUUCAGAGAGGGUGGAGCUGCUGAGGCACUUGUUCUGUUCCUCCUUGAUAAGAGCUGCAGACCAAACAUGAACAGCAGGAAAGUGAUCUUACAAAAAUAUUUCAGGCAGAGGAAGAGAUCCUUAAGGCCAAACUUCAGCAAUUAGCGGCUGAGCUGCAAGCCUACAACGAUUUGAAGACGAGAGUCGAAGAUUCAACCUUAAAAAAGAAUUUGCAAAGAAAUAUUCAGGAACAUGGGAGCCCAGGUGCAUACUGGGAGGCUGAGCAGGAGUCUUUGCUAUUUGGGAUUGAGAUGAAGGGUGAGCGUGUGCAGGAGCAAAGCAGGAAGCUGGAGCGGAUGGAUGAACUGGCAGUUUUCAAAGGAGCAGCAGGACCUGAAGGUGGCCCUAGAGAGACAGAUGGCAGUAAACUAGAAUCUUUCUCAGGAAAAAGAGCAGCUGAUGUUCAAACUGUAAGACAGAGAUUCGUGUCCAGGGAUUCACCUGCCCCCCAUGAUGGAGGAGAUGGACCCCUGAUGAUCCUGAUCACACACAAGUCUCAAAGCGUGACUCUGAAUUAUCUGACCUGGUUUACUGCUCGGGUCGUGAGACUCAGACUGAGCUGACAAACAUCUGGGAUCCGGUUUAAAGUCUUUGGAGCAGCACCGCAACAGAUCAGGGCAGGAUGUUAAAAAUGGGACACAAUUGGUCCGUCUGGCUGAAUCUCUAUGCAGUGUGCUGUCACACAAACUAGUAGAUUUGAGACUGUGAGCACAUUCUGCUUAGAGCUGUACAGCUCUUUUUUUCUUGUUUUUUUUUUUUUACGGAAUAAGUGCUGUUAUUUACAGAUUUAUUUCACAGUAAUCACUU
Molecule: long non-coding RNA, 943 nt
Organism: Gambusia affinis (western mosquitofish)
Lineage: Eukaryota; Metazoa; Chordata; Actinopteri; Cyprinodontiformes; Poeciliidae
Exons: 5
Source: RefSeq, a predicted model, not a curated record